ACGUAGGAGGCAAACGUUAUCCGGAUUUACUGGGCGUAAAGCGCGUGUAGGUGGUUUGGUAAGUAGAGCGUGAAAGCUCCUGGCUCAACUGGGAGAGGUCGUUCUAAACUGCCGGACUAGAGGAUGGUAGAGGGAGGUGGAAUUCCGGGUGUAGCGGUGAAAUGCGUAAAUAUGCGGAGGAACACCAGUGGCGAAGGCGGCCCCCUGGACCGUUCCUGACGCUCAGACGCGAAAGCGAGGGUAUCAAACGG
Molecule: ribosomal RNA, 251 nt
Filed under: uncultured prokaryote
Description: partial 16S rRNA
Rfam family: Bacterial small subunit ribosomal RNA
Source: RNAcentral